Molecule: non-coding RNA, 127 nt
Filed under: Leptobrachium leishanense (Leishan spiny toad)
Lineage: Eukaryota; Metazoa; Chordata; Amphibia; Anura; Megophryidae
Description: U4atac minor spliceosomal RNA (ENSLLEG00000026252.1)
Rfam family: U4atac minor spliceosomal RNA
About the family: U4atac is an essential component of the minor U12-type spliceosome complex which is required for removal of the rarer class of eukaryotic introns (AT-AC, U12-type).
Source: Rfam by way of RNAcentral
ACCAUCCUUCUCUUGGGGUGAGCGGUUGUCCGAGGAGCGUGUAGCGAGGACAGCAGUGCUAACACCACUUACAACACUCACGCAUCACUAUUGCCAAGGCAUUAGUCAAGGUGCAAUUUUUGGACCC